Molecule: transfer RNA, 77 nt
Filed under: Marinilabiliales bacterium
Lineage: Bacteria; Pseudomonadati; Bacteroidota; Bacteroidia; Marinilabiliales
Description: tRNA-Ala
Rfam family: tRNA
About the family: Transfer RNA (tRNA) molecules are approximately 80 nucleotides in length. Their secondary structure includes four short double-helical elements and three loops (D, anti-codon, and T loops).
Source: RNAcentral
GGGGCAUUAGCUCAGUUGGCUAGAGUGUUUGACUGGCAGUCAAGAGGUCAUCGGUUCGAUUCCGAUAUGCUCCACAA